This is a long non-coding RNA of Neocloeon triangulifer, 766 nucleotides long. RefSeq lists it as uncharacterized. The transcript has 3 exons. The record is from RefSeq and is a predicted model, not a curated record. NCBI's taxonomy places the organism in Eukaryota, Metazoa, Arthropoda, Insecta, Ephemeroptera, Baetidae.
CAAAUCGCAUCUUCUUCACAUGUUAACAUAAAAGUCUCACGAAAAGUCUACUUUUCUGAUAUAUUUUGUAAACAAACGCAAAACCCAACCAACUGAAGAUGAAGAUUUUUACACAGUAAAAACUUUCCCGAGAUUUGAAUGGAAUGAUGUUCAAGAUCUUGCAUCGCAGGUUGCAUACUCGCAUCUUAAAAGGCGCUUACACCUCUGGAAGAAUUUAAUGAUUUUUUGCUGGCAACAAACAACAUCCCGACGAGAAAUAACACUAAGGAGAUGCAAACUCGGUGCCAAAAGAGUCCUGAACUGCCAGAAAGCCAAGAAAGAGAAGCGAAAAAUUCUAAAAAAAAAUUGUAUGAAUAAAAUCUCGAGGCCGGACGAUAAGUGCCCAUAAUCAAACAAAAACUUUUUCUUCGUUUCCUCCACAUCAGUUAUUGACCGGCUCGGAAGAGAUUUUCGAAUGCGCCAAGAGAAGAAGCCCCUGGAAAGUCGGCAGCCAGCAGGGCUUUAUCAAAUGAGAUCUGGCGCCAUCGAGCAAUGUGCUAUCAUGCCCAAUGAUCAGAGGCGUCGCAUCCGCAGCAUCCAGCGCUCGCCCUAACAUCAUCGCAAAAACGAAAUCGACCCUUUUAUGUAUGCGCGAGAGUCAGCCAAGUCGAGCCAGUUUCUUUAUCGCGGCGGCGGCAGCGCCACAAUUAUAUCAGAAUGCCCAGCGCGUUUUAUGGACCAGCAAGGAAAAUGAAAGUUUAUUGCGCUCCGAAACAGCUUCCUCUCU